RNAcentral lists this ribosomal RNA (434 nucleotides) under uncultured bacterium. RNAcentral's name for it is "partial 16S ribosomal RNA". It matches the Rfam family "Bacterial small subunit ribosomal RNA", at positions 29 to 507 of the family's 1533-position model. The record is from RNAcentral.
AGCGAACGCUGGCGGCAGGCCUAACACAUGCAAGUCGAACGAACCUUUCGGGGUUAGUGGCGGACGGGUGAGUAACACGUGGGAACGUGCCUUUAGGUUCGGAAUAACUCAGGGAAACUUGUGCUAAUACCGAAUGUGCCCUUCGGGGGAAAGAUUAAUCGCCUUUAGAGCGGCCCGCGUCUGAUUAGCUAGUUGGUUGAGGUAAUGGCUCACCAAGGCGACGAUCAGUAGCUGGUCUGAGAGGAUGAUCAGCCACAUUGGGACUGAGACACGGCCCAAACCCCCAAGGGGAGGAGGAAGGGGGAAUCCUGCGGAAAGGGCGGAAGGCUUACGGCGCCCUGGCGGGGGAAAUGAGGAGGGUUUAGGAUUGGAAAAUUCUUUCACCCGGGAACAAUAUGGCGGUAACCGGAGAAGAAGCCCCGGCUAACUUCGUG